This 253-nucleotide ribosomal RNA is filed under the name uncultured bacterium. RNAcentral's name for it is "partial 16S ribosomal RNA". It matches the Rfam family "Bacterial small subunit ribosomal RNA", at positions 524 to 776 of the family's 1533-position model. The record is from RNAcentral.
UACAGAGGUCCCAAGCGUUGUUCGGAUUCAUUGGGCGUAAAGGGUGCGUAGGCGGCGCGGGAAGUCGGGUGUGAAAUCUCGGAGCUUAACUCCGAAACUGCAUUCGAUACUGCCGUGCUUGAGGACUGGAGAGGAGACUGGAAUUUACGGUGUAGCGGUGAAAUGCGUAGAUAUCGUAAGGAAGACCAGUGGCGAAGGCGGCUCACUGGCCCGGUACUGACGCUGAGGUGCGAAAGCGUGGGGAGCAAACAGG